Small nuclear RNA from Vulpes vulpes (red fox), 106 nucleotides. The record is from Ensembl. Lineage: Eukaryota; Metazoa; Chordata; Mammalia; Carnivora; Canidae.
GUGCUCAAUUCAGCAGUGCAAAUGCUAAAAUUAGAAUGUUAAGAGAAGAUUAGCAUGGUCCCUGAGCAAGGAUGACACACACAUUUAGAAAGCGUCUUAUAUAUUU